RNAcentral lists this signal recognition particle RNA (148 nucleotides) under Homo sapiens (human). Its description in RNAcentral is "Metazoan signal recognition particle RNA". It matches the Rfam family "Metazoan signal recognition particle RNA". Rfam says of the family: The signal recognition particle (SRP) is a universally conserved ribonucleoprotein. It is involved in the co-translational targeting of proteins to membranes. Lineage: Eukaryota; Metazoa; Chordata; Mammalia; Primates; Hominidae. The record is from Rfam by way of RNAcentral.
GCCGGGUGUGGUGGUGCACACCUGUAAUCUCAGCUACUCAGGAGGCUGAGGCAGGGGAAUUGCUUGAACCCAGGAGACGGAGGUUGCAGUGAGCUGAGAUCGCACCACUACACUCCAGCCUGGGUGACAGAGCGAGACUCUGUCUCAA